RNAcentral lists this ribosomal RNA (215 nucleotides) under Enterococcus faecalis. Its description in RNAcentral is "partial 16S ribosomal RNA". It matches the Rfam family "Bacterial small subunit ribosomal RNA", at positions 1 to 199 of the family's 1533-position model. The record is from RNAcentral. Lineage: Bacteria; Bacillati; Bacillota; Bacilli; Lactobacillales; Enterococcaceae.
UUAUUAUGAGAGUUUGAUCCUGGCUCAGGACGAACGCUGGCGGCGUGCCUAAUACAUGCAAGUCGAACGCUUCUUUCCUCCCGAGUGCUUGCACUCAAUUGGAAAGAGGAGUGGCGGACGGGUGAGUAACACGUGGGUAACCUACCCAUCAGAGGGGGAUAACACUUGGAAACAGGUGCUAAUACCGCAUAACAGUUUAUGCCGCAUGGCAUAAG